This 838-nucleotide long non-coding RNA is filed under the name Cairina moschata (Muscovy duck). RNAcentral's name for it is "domestica (muscovy Duck (domestic type)) lncRNA (ENSCMMG00000011457.1)". Lineage: Eukaryota; Metazoa; Chordata; Aves; Anseriformes; Anatidae. The record is from RNAcentral.
AAUAUAAAAAAUACUUCCUGCUGUAACUGUGGAUGUUUUCUUCUUCCAGAUGAAAGAUCUGUUUUGUGGAGUCUCACAGAGGUCUGAUAACUUGAGUCAGCCAACUGAACUUUGAACUCGUCCUUUAAGUGAUAACUUGGUGUCCAAAUUUAAUGAACAAUAAAGGCAAACAAGGGCCCGCCCUCGACCUGUCGUGACAGAGAGGCUGCCGCCUGGAGGCCAUGAGCGGGAAGCGCGAGGCGGCGGCGCUGAGGCGGCGCUUGUGGCGGGGAUGGCAGUGUUGCAAACUCUGUGUGUAAUUAGUAAAAUGUAAACUCAGGCUUGAAGUGGAAUAGCCUCCAUCUUCCAGCAUUUGGUGCCAAGAUACCCUACUUCCAUAUAGAUGGAGGAGAAAUCUUGUCCUGUGAAGGACCUGCCCCAUGUGCUUUUGAAGCUAUUCAAAUGGUCCAUUCUUGGUUGCCUUCAGCAUCAAAUUUUCGGGUCCGUUUCACAUCUGAGAUCUGCUGCUCCCCCCCAGCGUGGUACACAAGGUGGAAGCAAGCUGCUGGAGAAAGAAAAUAAUCUUACCCUGAUGGCUGUCUUUGCCUAUAAACUUAGAGUGGUAGAAAAAUGUUUGCAGGAGUUUCAGGCCUUUAUCAGAACUAGCACCUGCUCUGAGGGGAGCAAAGUACUUUCAGGGAAUAUUAUAAACUCUUCUGGUCAAGGUCCCUGUCUUUAUGGCCCACUUGUAUUCAGUGAGGUUAAAGAAGUUCUGAGAUCGCACCCAAGAAAAUUAUUACCCAAAGAUGAUGUGUCUUUGCUCAGAUUUCAUACCACCAUGGAUGAGUGCUGUCUGUAA